Molecule: ribosomal RNA, 465 nt
Filed under: uncultured bacterium
Lineage: Bacteria
Description: partial 16S ribosomal RNA
Rfam family: Bacterial small subunit ribosomal RNA
Source: RNAcentral
GACGAACGCUGGCGGCGUGCUUAACACAUGCAAGUCGAACGGAAAGGCCCUGCUUGCAGGGUACUCGAGUGGCGAACGGGUGAGUAGCACGUUUGUGAUCUGCCCUGCACUUCGGGAUAAGCCUGAGAAACUGGGGCUAAUACCGGAGAGAAGCCAUUUUUAGUUUGAUGGUUGGAAAGUUUGUUCGGUGUAGUAUGAGCUCGCGGCCUAUCCGCUUGUUGGUGGGGUAAUGGUCUACCAAGGCGGCGACGGGUAGCCGGCCUGAGAGGGUGGACGGCCACAUCGGCACUGAGAUUCGGACAAGACUCCGACGGGAGGGAGAAGCGGGGAAUAUUGCACAAUGGGCGCAAGCCUGAUGCAGAGACGCCGCGUGGGGGAUGACGGCCAUCGGGUUGUAAACGCCUUUCGCUAGGGACGAAGACGUUUGUGACGGUACCUAGAGAAGAAGCACCGGCUAACUACGUG